Molecule: non-coding RNA, 70 nt
Organism: Schistosoma curassoni
Lineage: Eukaryota; Metazoa; Platyhelminthes; Trematoda; Strigeidida; Schistosomatidae
Source: Rfam
CUGUUAACUCCGCCUGUAGCUCUUAUAGGGUUGCUGCCGGUCCCAAGCCCGGGUAAAGGAGGAGGGUUGG